Molecule: small nucleolar RNA, 106 nt
Organism: Propithecus coquereli (Coquerel's sifaka)
Lineage: Eukaryota; Metazoa; Chordata; Mammalia; Primates; Indriidae
Source: Ensembl
UGGGGAUUAAAUUCCACCAUAAUUUACAACACACCCAACAGGAAUCUAGGAUCACUGUGACAAGGGGCACAAAACUUGUGGCCUCCCUAACAAAUGCCCUACGUCU